CUAGUUACACAGAAUGAUGUACACCACUUACGAAGUUUUCUUUCUGAUCAACUUGUGCAGAUCCUUGCAACUAUAUUGUUGGUCUAAAGAUCCCUGUAAGAAAAUGUUGAAAAAACCUUAGAUCCUUCUUUUCUCUCUCGCACGCACAAACAAAACCCUCAACAACUCAUAAAAAUCCAAUCUUUCCCUCUCACACUCUUCUUCAGCUAACAACAACAUAUCCCUCAAGCGAUUUCAAUUAUCAAAUAUUGCCAUAACAUGGGUUUCGUUCAUUGGGAUAUAAAGCUAGAAAAUAACCUCCUUGCAAACUCCGUGAGAAAUAGGUCCAUCCUGUUGAACAGAGGAAUUCACGUUAACACAUCCCAAUUCAAGCAGCAGUUUCCUGAAGGCAGUAGUAAAGCCAAGAAAGAUAUCUUGUGCAUAGUUAGAAAAAAAUCAUAAGUCUCUUUGACAUGCAUAUGGAUUAGCAUUGAUUUGGAUCACUUGAAUAACCACUCCUCUCAGCAUAUCAAUUUUGAGAGAGAGAGAGAGAGAGAGAGAAUCGAUUUCUUUAACUUUAGCCUUCAUGACUUUUUUUUGUUCUAGAGGGUAGGGUGACAGAGAUAGGAAAAAAAAUAAAGAAGACAAAAGAUGGCAAAUUGAUCUGACAGAUUGAAACUCAAUUGAAAUGCAGCUUGAUUUAACCAGUAAUCUCCAGAGCUACAACAAUACACAAAUUGCUCAACAACAAAAAUUAAAGUAAAAUCCCCAACUAAACACAAAUAAACCCACCAGCUUUUUCAGUAAUACAAAACUAAAUCUGAUCAAAUGGGCGUCACAUUUCAUGCACAUAAUGAGAACCCAUACAAUCUAGAAGAAAUGGCUCCCAAAAUCACGCCGGAUUUUCUAGGUCGGUGCCCAUGUUUUUGUUCUUUUUUUAGGCAAGUUCUCGGUUGGUUCUUGAUUGAUUCCAGAUUUCUAUGCCAUUUGAUUGUAGUCCCGACCCCAACACCAAUCUCAUCCCCUGCAAACCUCACCUAACCAUCCUAGCCCUAAUAAUUGUCC
This 1044-nucleotide long non-coding RNA is filed under the name Populus trichocarpa (black cottonwood). RNAcentral's name for it is "long non-coding RNA (PTRI_LNC004006)". Lineage: Eukaryota; Viridiplantae; Streptophyta; Magnoliopsida; Malpighiales; Salicaceae. The record is from RNAcentral.